Molecule: ribosomal RNA, 52 nt
Filed under: Epicoccum sorghinum
Lineage: Eukaryota; Fungi; Ascomycota; Dothideomycetes; Pleosporales; Didymellaceae
Description: partial 18S ribosomal RNA
Source: RNAcentral
UGAGUACCUUACGUUUCCUCGGUGGGUUCGCCCACCGAUUGGACAAAUUUAA